RNAcentral lists this ribosomal RNA (301 nucleotides) under uncultured bacterium. RNAcentral's name for it is "partial 16S ribosomal RNA". It matches the Rfam family "Bacterial small subunit ribosomal RNA", at positions 509 to 807 of the family's 1533-position model. The record is from RNAcentral.
CAGUCGCCGCGGGAAUACGAAGGGGGCUAGCGUUGCUCGGAAUUACUGGGCGUAAAGGGAGCGUAGGCGGAUCGUUAAGUUGGGGGUGAAAGCCCGGGGCUCAACCUCGGAACUGCCUUCAAUACUGGCGGUCUUGAGUAUGAGAGAGGUGUGUGGAACUCCGAGUGUAGAGGUGAAAUUCGUAGAUAUUCGGAAGAACACCAGUGGCGAAGGCGACACACUGGCUCAUUACUGACGCUGAGGCUCGAAAGCGUGGGGAGCAAACAGGAUUAGAUACCCCUGUAGUCCCUGUCUCUUAUAC